GGUAGUAUGGCAUAGAGUGUAUUAUCAGGCCUGCCCAGUGGAUAUACUUAACGGCCGCGGUAUUUUGACCGUGCAAAGGUAGCAUAAUCAUUUGUCUAUUAAUUGUGGACUAGAAUGAAUGGUUGAACCUAAAUUAGCUUUUUUAUUAACAAUCAUGAAUUUUCAUUUCUUGUAAAAAUGCAUGAGAGGCUAUAAAGGGACGAGAAGACCCUAUUAAGCUUUAUGUAGGAUAAUAAGUUAAUAAAAAGAAUUUAAGUAUUAGUUAAUACAUUUUUCUGGGGCGGUAGAUAUUAAAAAACUGGAUGAUUAUAUGCUUAUUAGGUCCGUAAUUUAGUACGAAUAAUAGAUCAAGUUACUAUAGGGAUAACAGCGUAAUUUUAUUUGAGAGUUCUUAUUGAUAAUAAAGAUUGCGACCUCGAUGUUGAUUUAAGAUUUCUCUGUAGAAGCAGGUGAUUUAUGAGAUGGUCUGUUCGACUAUUAAAAUCUUAUG
Molecule: ribosomal RNA, 490 nt
Filed under: Cryptops typhloporus
Lineage: Eukaryota; Metazoa; Arthropoda; Chilopoda; Scolopendromorpha; Cryptopidae
Description: partial 16S small subunit ribosomal RNA
Rfam family: Bacterial large subunit ribosomal RNA
Source: RNAcentral